This 843-nucleotide ribosomal RNA is filed under the name Triticum aestivum (bread wheat). RNAcentral's name for it is "partial small subunit ribosomal RNA". Lineage: Eukaryota; Viridiplantae; Streptophyta; Magnoliopsida; Poales; Poaceae. The record is from RNAcentral.
AUGGCGUCGGACGGGGGAGACGAGGGACAUCGUCGUCCGCCGCCUCUUGGCCUCCGAGGCCCGACUCGCGCUGCCUUCCUUCCUCGUUCCGGCGAUGGCGGCGGCCUUCCUCCACUUCGUACUCGUCAUGGCGGCGGCCUUCCUCCACUCGGUCUUGCAGGUCGAGGACCACUGCCGUCGUUCUCCAUUGGAACGGCUGCCUCUACACCGGUGUCCAGCCCCAGCGUCGGAGGGAGACGCCGCGUCGGUCUGUCGCGCCCACCUCGAUCUCCUUCUCCAAAUCAGGCAGGCUCGUCGAACUGGGCCACCUCGCCGGGCGGGAGCGGCAGUGCAAGCGCCGCCGGAAGGACGUCCUCCUACGUCGGCUUGAACAUCAUGAACGGCUCCAUCUGCGUCGGACCAAAUCCGUCCGUAUUCUGCACGAGAGAUUGUACCAGUGAGUUUGCUGCAUCUACUAACGGCAGAGAAGGCGGCUGGCGUGGCGCUGGAUAUAAUCCAAAUUUUGAGAACGCUGACGAGUAUCCUCCACGGCCGGAACAUGUAGAAGCACCUUCUGCAAAAGAGAUUGAUUUGAAUGCUUUGGCUAACAAGAAUAACAGAGAACAGUACACUGUCGAAGACAAGCGUAAUAUUUACGCUAUGCUGCUUGCUCGAAAUGGAGAGCGUGGAAGGUUAAAGAAUGGGGUUUUGGAUUCUGUUGUACGUGAUGGAAAUUGUUCUCGGAGGUGUGUGAGUAGGAUUUGGAAAGAAACGAAGACAGGAGGUGGCGUUAACUCUAUCAAGAACAAUUUGAAGUUAAAAACGGGAAGGAAAAAAAUGAGUUUGGAUAUUGAGGCAUUAUAA